Molecule: long non-coding RNA, 4675 nt
Organism: Equus caballus (horse)
Lineage: Eukaryota; Metazoa; Chordata; Mammalia; Perissodactyla; Equidae
Source: RefSeq, a predicted model, not a curated record
UUCAAUUAUUAUUGACACACAAAAAUAGAAUAUUGCUUUUAAUUUUAAAUGGCUCUAAAUUUAAUAUUAAUGACAAACUGUUUAAUCUCUGGCAUGAUAAAUUCUAAAAACUUUCAAUGUGUAGGGCUCUCAGUGCUGGCUUGUAAGCAGGAUAAUGAAGUAAAUGAACAUUUUCCUACAACAGCUUUCUUGUUCUACCUGAUUAGUUAACUCAGGAUUCAUCUUUUCUCGAAAUUGCUUGCAACCCUGACAUCCUUCAGGGCCCAAUGUUUCUGUGAGGCAACUUCCACCUAUCUCUUCCGCUCUGCCCUCUGCCCUCCAUAUCUGCCACAUUCCAGCUAAAUCCUUUGAUAUUUCCUGGUGGAUUCUCACCCCUCACAGUCAAGCUUACAGCCAAAGUGUUACUCAGAAAUGACUGGAGGGAUCCUUUAGCUGUUGCUGCCCCAUAGGGUUGUGCAUUUUCAUUCUCAGCUUCUUGUCACAAGGUCCUCACAUUCCUCACGUCACCCAAGGAAGAGAUUGCAACAGUGGGGCCUUCAAGAUGCUCCCCCUCCUAAGAUGACUCAGACUACUUCACAGAGAAAAUUGACGAUGCAGGAAGAAAGGCUUCAACUUCCGGUCUCACGCCCAAAAUACAUCUACGUUUGUAUUUGCUCUUUAUCCCUCCUCCUCAUUUCCCUUUUUCUCGAGACAUCCAGUGCUACUGCCCCCAACCUGGCCAUGCUUGCGUUUGCACUUGCACCAACAUUUCCUUCUGCCACACUCACAUGGUCCUUCUUGCCUCCUUUUCACGUCACUUUCAAUGCCCCGUGCUGCCGUGAGAGAUGGAGCUAGCUGCCCUCCCUGGUGCCCUGGCUCUCUGCUCUUGCAAUUAUUGUAGGUUUUGUCACACACUUGGGAUUUCUUACAUGUCCCCUCUCUCUCUCUGGAAUGGGAGUUCCUGGAGGUAGGGACUGCGUCCGAUUUGCCUUCCCAGAAUUAGGAUGAGAGAAGCAGUAGGCUCGGAGGAGGUGCUCUAUGAACCUGGGGGAGAAGGGCGUGUCUCUUGUGAGUCCCGACAGCUGAUGCAUUUGGGCAGAGAGGGGCCUUGAGGUGCUCCUGAGCUCUCCUCUGAUUUGCAGGGCUGUGGCAACUUCAAGGCCUCAGGAAAACCACUCCAAAAACUAUUGGAGCUUCCGUCUUGGUUUAUAUGGAAGGUACUAAAAAUCUCCCUGGUACCAAGUGCUCCGUCUAGACAUAGUAAAGGCUAAAUAAAUAUUUGAUAAAUGAAUGCAUGAACAAUUUAGUGCCUUGAAAUAUUAAUUCUUUCUAUUUCAAAAAAGCCCUAGCAAGAAGGGUAGCCCAUUAAAGAAUAAAACAUCACCUUUAUUCUUUAUUCCAGCAAAGGAAGCAUAUAUUUCUUCAAGUCUUUUUCUUGUAGCAAAGUCAGAAUUUAUUUGAUGUUUGGAGGUGAUUCCCACUGUACUUGAAGCAACCAUUUACUUAACCUCUUCUCAGAGCACUUCACAUGCUGAUCUUAAAUGUGUGUGUGUGCGCGUGUGCACGUGCUCACCUAUUGUUUAUUUUCUUCUGCUUGUGGAAAGGAAAUAUUGUAUUGUAUUUAUACGUCACAUCAGCUUUCUCAGAAGUCCCUCCCUACAGUUGGAGGAACACGCAUCACGCUGAAGUUAACUAUUUCCUGGUAAACCCAGAGCGCACGUUCACACAGACGAGAAGGAAGUCAGAAUGACAAAAUGACUUAAGGUAAACAUGUCUGUGUUGACAUGUCAUUUCCUCAGGUCUCAGGCUUUUUGUGUGACUAAUUUGACCACAGCUCAAUAUAUGGACUUAAAAAAAAUAUUGGCUAAACUGAUCUAAGAAAAAUGUCUUGAGAAAAAUUAAGACUAAAGCUAAUUAUUGAUUAGCUUAGGAACUUGAUCAAAUAUAAUGUGGCGAUCUAUUCAAACAUUCAUCACAAAAGGGAACAGAUGCACUAGAUAUGAUUGAUAUUGAGGUACUUACAUCAUCACAUUUUCAAAAAUUCUGGAGAUGUACUGAAAAAAAUCAAUGACUGAAGAUAUGUGAAGGGUGCUUUCAUUCUUAUUGUGACUCGGAUGUUAUGUGAAAAUUGCAAAGUUAUGACUAAUUCUCUGAAACUGGCAGAAUGAAGAUGAUGCAUCAUAUAUAUUAUGAAAACCUUCAUUCUUCGCGAAUGAAGUACAUCUCAGCAUAAAAAACUCAAAUAUGUUAGUAAAUGUGGUGUUUAUUUCCCCCCCCCCCCAUAUUUUAGAGUCAAGCAAUAUAGACUAUGUCUUGGGGAUACAUAUUCCCAAAGCAGGAUCUCUCUUGGCAUAUAGAUAUAUACAAUUUUUGAUUAGUAUUUAGUAAUAUUGACCAAAAGAAAACUGCCACUUCCAAGCCUGGAGAGUAGGAGUAAGCAAAACCAAGUAGAAUCGUAAAAAUACAAAUUCUUGAGCCCCAUUCAAUGCCAUAGGGGUGAGCCCAGGAAUCUACUUUUUCUGAGCUCUCCAGGUAACAGUGAGGCACAGGCCCCCUUGGGAAGCACUGACUUUCUGCCUGGAAUUAAUUUUAACAUCUGUCAGAAUGCUCUAUUGUACCAGCUACGGGUGCUAAACAGUGUCCCUAACCCAUGACAAGGGAGUAGGGAGAGGGUGUUUCCUUCUUGUGAUAAUAAGUGUGUCUGUGGGAGGGUGACAUCAGCUAGCUGUGACACCUAGUUUGCUCCAUUGGAAUUGUCACUUGACAGAGUUGGUGGGAAACACGGAGAUUAUUUUAGUGUAAUUUAUCAUUUUACAGUUGAGGAUGCAUUGAUAGAGAUAUUAAGUUACUUGGCAAGGUCACACAGAUGGUUCUGGAGAGAGCUGGGAGUAGAACUCAGGUCUCCAGAGACCUCAUCCGGUGCUUUUCUCAUUUAAAAAAAGAAAGCUCUUCCCCGUCAGACUUCAACCUAAUUUUGCAGCCUCAUUUUUUAUCACUUUACUCUAGACACGCUGUUAACUUUUCCUCAGAACUCCCGGCAUUUCAUAACACAGGUGACAUCAGCUGUAAUGCCAGCCGGGUCGCCCUUCUUUCUCUUUUGGUAAAAGCCCUUGACUUCUUGUUAAACCACUUAUCCUUCACUGUUUUCUGGUUUGAGUGGCUUCACCCCAGUCCCUGGCCUGAGGAACAGCAUCUAACCCAAACCAGGAUGGCUGAAGACUGAAUGAUUGGUUUGAGGAGGGCGGGGACUGUCCAGGCCAGUGAGGGACACUCAGAGUACUUUGCUGGAACCCUGGGGAAAGAGCCGCUUUCUCCACCAUGGUUCUCAUGGGCAGGAGGGAGGCUGUUGCUACUGGUGGCCAGAUUUGGCAGCAUUUGGGGAGAGCCUGUCCGAGAAGAAAGCCAAGACAGAAGGAAAAGUCAUGUGGAGAAGUGAGACCGAUUCCUGGUGUUAGAACCACAAGAUCUGGAUCCAGUCCUUCCAUUUCCACAUCAAUUACUGGACUUUUCACAUAUACAGUCAGUAAAUCGACUCUUGGCUUAAGCCGGUUUGAUUGUCUUUUUCCUCCCGCAGAUGAAGGCGAUCCAAUGAAAUACUUGGUUCCGUCACUUUGCAGCUACUAUACUAUUUCACUGUAAUGCCCAUUCUUUAUUUUUCCUCCUGAAAAGCUAUUUCUUAGAAAAGGCAUGAAAGAGUUACCUGCAAUUAUUAUGUUUAUUGUCCACACAAACAGAUUGCUGGGUUAUCAAUAGCCCUGCCCUCAGGUCCGUUAGGCUAAGCAUAUGGGAAGGUGUUUUUCAUAACCAUUAAGAUACUGGCCCACACCCUUGAAAUGUCAUUAAACAAAGAUUCCUGCUUUUGUGGGCUUUCACUUUUUAUGUAGGAAGAGAUAAUUAAAAAAACCAAAAAACUAAACAAGUAAAUUAUUCUGUGGGUUAGAAGAUGAUAAGGGCUAUGUUCAAAACACCACCACCAACAAAGAAAUCAGAGUAAGGGGUACCAGCAAAUGCUGGUGUGGGAGGGUUGCAAUUUAAAAUAGGCCUCACUGGAAAGUAACAAGGAGCAAAGACAUCGUGAUGAGGGAAUCGGGCAAGUGGCCACCUGGGGAAAGAACGUUUUAGGUUUUCAGAACAACCAGUGCCAGGGGCAAAAGGGAGUGUGUCUGUAUUCCAGGAACAGCAAGGAGGCCAGGGGUGCUGCCACAGAGCCAACAAUGCAGAGAUAAAGUCAGAAAGAUCACAGAGGCUCUCUGACAUUCAAAACUCAUGGAGAAGAAGAAAAACCAGCAAGAGAUUGGAAAAGAGUGACCAGUGAUGCAGGAUGAAGACUCCAGAGAAGAGACAGUGACCAACCUUGUCAAAUUGGCUCAUGAGUCAAAAAGAUGAGGACUGAGAUUGGACAGCUGGAUUCAGCAGUGUGGAGGCAAUGAGAUUGUCCUGCAAAGAACUUCUCUUCACAAGUAUCCAUCCAUAUGAUCCAUUUUGAACUUGUCCUAGGGGUAGUCCCAACAAGUAGCUGAAUGUGACUUACUCUCCCCUUCGGAAAUCUGAAAGUAUUGGAGCUCUGAUUUUCCUGCUCUUCUCCCAUUUUAGCUGGUACAAGACCACCCAAUUAGAAGCCAUAUUUCCCAGCCUCCUUGAGCUAGCUCUGAGUCAUGUAACUAAGUCUAGAACAAUAAAGUGUGAGUAGAAGUGA